CCAGUUAAGACGGGGCUUUAAAGUAGCCAGCCCUGACCCAGUGUCCCAAGUGUAGGGGCAGAGGAAAAAUAUACACUCAACUAUUUUAAAGCCCCGAAACAACCUCUCCCAUCCCCUCCCCUGGAAGUUUGUUCUGGCCGGGGUCGCUCAGGUCUGCUCAGGUGGACAGGGGCCAGGGACCGUGCGGGUGUUCGGCGUGGACACAGAGUAAGCGGCUUGAAAGUAAACACGACGCCUGCGGCUUCCCCGGCAUUCCUUAUUCAACGUGCACGGCCGUCCCUCUUCACCGCAGGGCAGCGCUGAGGUCCCACUCCUCGGGGGUCAGCACCGGCCCCGCUCCCCUCCCAGGCGACAGAGCUCUGGUGCCACACGGAGUGAGUACACACACGUGUGCAUACACAUGCACGCACAGACGGUCAGCAGCCACCCAGCGAUUCCCGGGGCUGUCCGGCCCUUGUUUUCAUGGCGCAACCGCCCAGCUGCAGCCGCUCUGCGCUGCGCGGCUGCCCGGCUCCCCCCGGCCCCCCGCGAGCCCCGG
This 538-nucleotide long non-coding RNA is filed under the name Marmota monax (woodchuck). The record is from RNAcentral. Lineage: Eukaryota; Metazoa; Chordata; Mammalia; Rodentia; Sciuridae.